AUUGAACGCUGGCGGCAUGCCUUACACAUGCAAGUCGAACGGCAGCGCGUCCUUCGGGAUGGCGGCGAGUGGCGAACGGGUGAGUAAAGCAAUCGGAACGUGCCCGGUAGUGCGGGAUAGCUCGGCGAAAGCCGGAUUAAUACCGCAUGAGAUCUGCGGAUGAAAGCAGGGGACCCGAAAGGGCCUUGCGCUACUGGAGCGGCCGAUGUCAGAUUAGGUAGUUGGUGAGGUAAAGGCUCACCAAGCCUGCGAUCUGUAGCUGGUCUGAGAGGAUGAUCAGCCACAUCGGGACUGAGACACGGCCCGAACUCCUACGGGAGGCAGCAGUGGGGAAUUUUGGACAAUGGGCGCAAGCCUGAUCCAGCCAUGCCGCGUGCAGGAUGAAGGCCUUCGGGUUGUAAACUGCUUUUGUACGGAACGAAAAGGCUCUUUCUAAUAAAGGGAGUUGAUGACGGUACCGUAAGAAUAAGCACCGGCUAACUACGUG
RNAcentral lists this ribosomal RNA (487 nucleotides) under uncultured bacterium. RNAcentral describes it as "bacterial SSU rRNA". It matches the Rfam family "Bacterial small subunit ribosomal RNA", at positions 30 to 507 of the family's 1533-position model. The record is from RNAcentral.